GACGUAGGGGGCCAGCGUUGUUCGGAAUUACUGCGUGUAAAGGGUUCGUAGGCGGUGCGGCAAGUUGGGAGUGAAAUCUCUGGGCUUAACCCAGAGGCUGCUUCCAAAACUGCUGUGCUUGAGUGUGGGAGAGGCGCGUGGAAUUGCAGGUGUAGCGGUGAAAUGCGUAGAUAUCUGCAGGAACACCCGUGGCGAAAGCGGCGCGCUGGACCACUACUGACGCUGAGGAACGAAAGCUAGGGGAGCAAACAGG
This 253-nucleotide ribosomal RNA is filed under the name uncultured bacterium. RNAcentral's name for it is "partial 16S ribosomal RNA". It matches the Rfam family "Bacterial small subunit ribosomal RNA", at positions 524 to 776 of the family's 1533-position model. The record is from RNAcentral.